GGGGGGGGGGGGGGGGGGGGGGGGGGGGGGGGGGGAGGGGGCGGGGGGGGGGGGCUGGCUGGGCGGGGAUGAGUUGCGAACGGGUGAGUAACGCGUGGGUAACCUGCCUUGUAGCGGGGGAUAACUAUUGGAAACGAUAGCUAAUACCGCAUAACAAUGGAUGACACAUGUCAUUUAUUUGAAAGGGGCAAUUGCUCCACUACAAGAUGGACCUGCGUUGUAUUAGCUAGUAGGUGAGGUAAUGGCUCACCUAGGCGACGAUACAUAGCCGACCUGAGAGGGUGAUCGGCCACACUGGGACUGAGACACGGCCCAGACUCCUACGGGAGGCAGCAGUAGGGAAUCUUCAGCAAUGGGGGCAACCCUGACCGAGCAACGCCGCGUGAGUGAAGAAGGUUUUCGGAUCGUAAAGCUCUGUUGUAAGUCAAGAACGGGUGUGAGAGUGGAAAGUUCACACUGUGACGGUAGCUUACCAGAAAGGGACGGCUAACUACGUG
Molecule: ribosomal RNA, 497 nt
Filed under: uncultured bacterium
Lineage: Bacteria
Description: partial 16S ribosomal RNA
Rfam family: Bacterial small subunit ribosomal RNA
Source: RNAcentral